Molecule: ribosomal RNA, 1429 nt
Filed under: Lactiplantibacillus plantarum
Lineage: Bacteria; Bacillati; Bacillota; Bacilli; Lactobacillales; Lactobacillaceae
Description: bacterial SSU rRNA
Rfam family: Bacterial small subunit ribosomal RNA
Source: RNAcentral
CUGGUAUUGAUUGGUGCUUGCAUCAUGAUUUACAUUUGAGUGAGUGGCGAACUGGUGAGUAACACGUGGGAAACCUGCCCAGAAGCGGGGGAUAACACCUGGAAACAGAUGCUAAUACCGCAUAACAACUUGGACCGCAUGGUCCGAGCUUGAAAGAUGGCUUCGGCUAUCACUUUUGGAUGGUCCCGCGGCGUAUUAGCUAGAUGGUGGGGUAACGGCUCACCAUGGCAAUGAUACGUAGCCGACCUGAGAGGGUAAUCGGCCACAUUGGGACUGAGACACGGCCCAAACUCCUACGGGAGGCAGCAGUAGGGAAUCUUCCACAAUGGACGAAAGUCUGAUGGAGCAACGCCGCGUGAGUGAAGAAGGGUUUCGGCUCGUAAAACUCUGUUGUUAAAGAAGAACAUAUCUGAGAGUAACUGUUCAGGUAUUGACGGUAUUUAACCAGAAAGCCACGGCUAACUACGUGCCAGCAGCCGCGGUAAUACGUAGGUGGCAAGCGUUGUCCGGAUUUAUUGGGCGUAAAGCGAGCGCAGGCGGUUUUUUAAGUCUGAUGUGAAAGCCUUCGGCUCAACCGAAGAAGUGCAUCGGAAACUGGGAAACUUGAGUGCAGAAGAGGACAGUGGAACUCCAUGUGUAGCGGUGAAAUGCGUAGAUAUAUGGAAGAACACCAGUGGCGAAGGCGGCUGUCUGGUCUGUAACUGACGCUGAGGCUCGAAAGUAUGGGUAGCAAACAGGAUUAGAUACCCUGGUAGUCCAUACCGUAAACGAUGAAUGCUAAGUGUUGGAGGGUUUCCGCCCUUCAGUGCUGCAGCUAACGCAUUAAGCAUUCCGCCUGGGGAGUACGGCCGCAAGGCUGAAACUCAAAGGAAUUGACGGGGGCCCGCACAAGCGGUGGAGCAUGUGGUUUAAUUCGAAGCUACGCGAAGAACCUUACCAGGUCUUGACAUACUAUGCAAAUCUAAGAGAUUAGACGUUCCCUUCGGGGACAUGGAUACAGGUGGUGCAUGGUUGUCGUCAGCUCGUGUCGUGAGAUGUUGGGUUAAGUCCCGCAACGAGCGCAACCCUUAUUAUCAGUUGCCAGCAUUAAGUUGGGCACUCUGGUGAGACUGCCGGUGACAAACCGGAGGAAGGUGGGGAUGACGUCAAAUCAUCAUGCCCCUUAUGACCUGGGCUACACACGUGCUACAAUGGAUGGUACAACGAGUUGCGAACUCGCGAGAGUAAGCUAAUCUCUUAAAGCCAUUCUCAGUUCGGAUUGUAGGCUGCAACUCGCCUACAUGAAGUCGGAAUCGCUAGUAAUCGCGGAUCAGCAUGCCGCGGUGAAUACGUUCCCGGGCCUUGUACACACCGCCCGUCACACCAUGAGAGUUUGUAACACCCAAAGUCGGUGGGGUAACCUUUUAGGAACCAGCCGCCUAAGGGUGAU